UGGGGAAUCUUGCGCAAUGGGCGAAAGCCUGACGCAGCCAUGCCGCGUGAAUGAUGAAGGUCUUAGGCUUGUAAAAUUCUUUCACCGGGGACGAUAAUGACGGUACCCGGAGAAGAAGCCCCGGCUAACUUCGUGCCAGCAGCCGCGGUAAUACGAAGGGGGCUAGCGUUGCUCGGAAUUACUGGGCGUAAAGGGAGCGUAGGCGGAAAGUUAAGCCAGGGGUGAAAUCCCGGGGCUCAACCGCGGAAUUGCCUUUGAUACUGGGGGGCUGGAGUGUGGGAGAGGUAUGUGGAACUCCGAGUGUAGAGGUGAAAUGCGUAGAUAUUAGGAGGAACACCAGUGGCGAAGGCGACAUACUGGCUGGUUACUGACGCUGAGGCUCGAAAGCGUGGGGAGCAAACA
This 402-nucleotide ribosomal RNA is filed under the name uncultured bacterium. Its description in RNAcentral is "bacterial SSU rRNA". It matches the Rfam family "Bacterial small subunit ribosomal RNA", at positions 355 to 774 of the family's 1533-position model. The record is from RNAcentral.